GUGGGGAAUAUUGGGCAAUGGGGGAAACCCUGACCCAGCAACGCCGCGUGAAGGAAGAAGGCCUUCGGGUUGUAAACUUCUUUUACCAGGGACGAAGGACGUGACGGUACCUGGAGAAAAAGCAACGGCUAACUACGUGCCAGCAGCCGCGGUAAUACGUAGGUUGCAAGCGUUGUCCGGAUUUACUGGGUGUAAAGGGCGUGUAGGCGGAGAUGCAAGUUGGGAGUGAAAUCCAUGGGCUCAACCCAUGAACUGCUCUCAAAACUGUAUCCCUUGAGUAUCGGAGAGGCAAGCGGAAUUCCUAGUGUAGCGGUGAAAUGCGUAGAUAUUAGGAGGAACACCAGUGGCGAAGGCGGCUUGCUGGACGACAACUGACGCUGAGGCGCGAAAGCGUGGGGAGCAAACAGGAUUAGAUACCCCUGUAGUCC
Molecule: ribosomal RNA, 428 nt
Filed under: uncultured Oscillospiraceae bacterium
Lineage: Bacteria; Bacillati; Bacillota; Clostridia; Eubacteriales; Oscillospiraceae
Description: bacterial SSU rRNA
Rfam family: Bacterial small subunit ribosomal RNA
Source: RNAcentral